CAGUCGCCGCGGUAAUACGUAGGUGGCAAGCGUUGUCCGGAAUUAUUGGGCGUAAAGCGCGCGCAGGUGGUUUAAUAAGUCUGAUGUGAAAGCCCACGGCUCAACCGUGGAGGGUCAUUGGAAGCUGUUAAACUUGAGUGCAGGAGAGAAAAGUGGAAUUCCUAGUGUAGCGGUGAAAUGCGUAGAGAUUAGGAGGAACACCAGUGGCGAAGGCGGCUUUUUGGCCUGUAACUGACACUGAGGCGCGAAAGCGUGGGGAGCAAUCAGGAUUAGAUACCCCCGUAGUCCCUGUCUCUUAUAC
RNAcentral lists this ribosomal RNA (301 nucleotides) under uncultured bacterium. RNAcentral describes it as "partial 16S ribosomal RNA". It matches the Rfam family "Bacterial small subunit ribosomal RNA", at positions 509 to 807 of the family's 1533-position model. The record is from RNAcentral.